Molecule: ribosomal RNA, 1316 nt
Filed under: uncultured bacterium
Lineage: Bacteria
Description: bacterial SSU rRNA
Rfam family: Bacterial small subunit ribosomal RNA
Source: RNAcentral
UAGUUGCCGUUCAGGGAGGGGCUCGCGUACCAUUAGCUCGUUGGUGGGGUAAUGGCCUACCAAGGCGACGAUGGUUAGCUGGUCUGAGAGGAUGAUCAGCCACACUGGAACUGAAACACGGUCCAGACUCCUACGGGAGGCAGCAGUGAGGAAUUUUGCGCAAUGGGGGAAACCCUGACGCAGCAACGCCGUGUGAGUGAAGAAGGCCUUCGGGUCGUAAAGCUCUGUCAAGUGGGAAAAAAUUCUUUCGAUUAAUAGUCGUAAGAAGUGAUGGUACCAUUAGAGGAAGCACCGGCUAACUCCGUGCCAGCAGCCGCGGUAAUACGGAGGGUGCGAGCGUUGUUCGGAAUUAUUGGGCGUAAAGAGCGUGUAGGCGGUAAGGUUAGUCAGAUGUGAAAUCCUUCUGCUCAACGGAAGAAGUGCAUCUGAAACUACCCGACUUGAGUACGAGAGAGGAAAGUGGAAUUCCCAGUGUAGAGGUGAAAUUCGUAGAUAUUGGGAGGAACACCCGUGGCGAAGGCGACUUUCUAGAUCGAUACUGACGCUGAGACGCGAAAGCGUGGGGAGCAAACAGGAUUAGAUACCCUGGUAGUCCACGCCGUAAACGACGGGAACUAGGUGUAGCGGGUAUUGAUCCCUGCUGUGCCGCAGCUAACGCAUUAAGUUCCCCGCCUGGGGAGUACGGUCGCAAGGCUAAAGCUCAAAGGAAUUAACGGGGGCCCGCACAAGCGGUGGAGCAUGUGGUUCAAUUCGAUGCAACGCGAAAAACCUUACCUGGGUUUGACAUCCUCUGACAGUCCCUGAAAAGGGAUCUUCCCGAUUUAUCGGGACAGAGUGACAGGUGCUGCAUGGCUGUCGUCAGCUCGUGUCGUGAGAUGUUGGGUUAAGUCCGCAACGAGCGCAACCCUUGUCUUUAGUUGCCAAUAUUAAGUUAGGCACUCUAAAGAUACUGCCUCGGUUAACGGGGAGGAAGGUGGGGAUGACGUCAAGUCCUCAUGGCCUUUAUACCCAGGGCUACACACGUGCUACAAUGGGCUGCACAAAGGGUUGCUACCUCGCGAGUGGAAGCUAAUCCCAAAAAGCAGUCCUAAGUUCGGAUUGGAGUCUGCAACUCGACUCUAUGAAGUCGGAAUCGCUAGUAAUCGUGGAUCAGCAUGCCACGGUGAAUACGUUCCCGGGCCUUGUACACACCGCCCGUCACACCACGAAAGUUGGCUGUACCAGAAGUUGCUGGGCUAACCCCUGAGCUUGUCGAAGGGGAGGCAGGCACCUAAGGUAUGGUUGAUGAUUGGGGUGAAGUCGUAACAAGGUAACCA